GGUGGCUUAAGCACUUGGCUGCUAACCAAAAGUUAAGUGGUUCGAACCCACUAGCCAUUC
This 60-nucleotide transfer RNA is filed under the name Loxodonta africana (African savanna elephant). It matches the Rfam family "tRNA". Rfam says of the family: Transfer RNA (tRNA) molecules are approximately 80 nucleotides in length. Their secondary structure includes four short double-helical elements and three loops (D, anti-codon, and T loops). Further hydrogen bonds mediate the characteristic L-shaped molecular structure. tRNAs have two regions of fundamental functional importance: the anti-codon, which is responsible for specific mRNA codon recognition, and the 3' end, to which the tRNAs corresponding amino acid is attached (by aminoacyl-tRNA synthetases). tRNAs cope with the degeneracy of the genetic code in two manners: having more than one tRNA (with a specific anti-codon) for a particular amino acid; and 'wobble' base-pairing, i.e. permitting non-standard base-pairing at the 3rd anti-codon position. The record is from Rfam by way of RNAcentral. Lineage: Eukaryota; Metazoa; Chordata; Mammalia; Proboscidea; Elephantidae.